GGAUAAGUAGCCAUCGGUAAAGCGGACUAUUUGCUACGUAGUUGAAUGCAAAUUCUUAUGGGUUCGAUUCCCAUCUUAUCCG
Molecule: transfer RNA, 82 nt
Filed under: Magnusiomyces fungicola
Lineage: Eukaryota; Fungi; Ascomycota; Dipodascomycetes; Dipodascales; Dipodascaceae
Description: Saprochaete fungicola tRNA-Ser
Rfam family: tRNA
About the family: Transfer RNA (tRNA) molecules are approximately 80 nucleotides in length. Their secondary structure includes four short double-helical elements and three loops (D, anti-codon, and T loops). Further hydrogen bonds mediate the characteristic L-shaped molecular structure. tRNAs have two regions of fundamental functional importance: the anti-codon, which is responsible for specific mRNA codon recognition, and the 3' end, to which the tRNAs corresponding amino acid is attached (by aminoacyl-tRNA synthetases). tRNAs cope with the degeneracy of the genetic code in two manners: having more than one tRNA (with a specific anti-codon) for a particular amino acid; and 'wobble' base-pairing, i.e. permitting non-standard base-pairing at the 3rd anti-codon position.
Source: RNAcentral